Clupea harengus (Atlantic herring) is the source of this 1471-nucleotide long non-coding RNA. The record is from Ensembl. Lineage: Eukaryota; Metazoa; Chordata; Actinopteri; Clupeiformes; Clupeidae.
GGGGGGGGGGCGGGGGCCGUAGACGUAUCAACCCAACUGCAUUACAUAGUCCUUCAGAAUUGUUAAGUGCUGACUGCCCUGUUCAUAGGACUAAAGGGGGCAAAGUGCAAAGAGGAUUGUGAUGCGCUCCUAUAAUGAAUCUUUCAGUGAAGAAUAGAGGGUGUGAGGUUUGGACCACUCUGAAGGCAGCGAGGGUGUGAGGUUUAGACCACUCUGAAGGCAGUGAGGGUGUGAGGUUUAGACCACUCUGAAGGCAGCGAGGGUGUGAGGUUUAGACCACUCUGAAGGCAGCGAGGGUGUGAUUUGGGACAGAACGCUGUCAGUGUUGACAGCCAUGGAGACUGUAGACGGAGGUGCUUCAGCAUGUAUGCAAGACAGUGCCCUCAUUGCUCUGCGUUAGGUCCGUCUUCCUUCAAAAGUCCGCCCGACACACUCGCUCGCUCACACACACACACACACACACACACACACACACACACACACACAAGUGAUGAGCGUGAGGUUAGGUUCAGUCCAGCGCUAUGAAACAGGAAGCCCGGGAAUGCUGCACCAAAGACUAGUCUACACUAGCAAACUAGAAAUCAGACGAGUUGAGAACACACACAAAAACACCUCUGAGAUGUAGAGCCGUCUUUUUGUUUGUUUGCUUUGGUUUUUGUUCAUUUAUCUUCGUUGUUAUUUACCUGUCCUUAUCUUGUAGACUUAGAUAUGACCCAGACCUCAACGUGUAGGUGUUUGUACCUGUGCCAGAAUGGAAGAAUGAUGAUGAUGAUGAUGAUGAUGGCUUACACUGCUUCAGUUUGCUCUGCUGAUCACAGGGCCUCACUCCCCGGUCGCAGCUAACUUUGGGUCCAAGUGGUGUGCGUGUUGCAUGGAUCAAACCGAGAUUUUCACUAGGUUUCGUCAGUGCCGAACGUCACUGCUCAUAAAUAUGUAACGCCUGUGCCAAUGACAGGAGCUUUUCUCUCUCUGAGUUGUAUUUCUUGUAUAUUUUCAUUGUUGUGCCAUGUUGAAAUGUAGUAUUUAGACAAAUGACGGUAUUGGAAGAGGAUGGUCACAGGAAGGCUGAAGGUGGUAUUUGAUGAAGCAAAGACAAGUGUGUGUAAGGAAACAUUUAAUUGUACAAGAUAGAUGUGAAAAUCAAAUAGAAUGAAGAAUGAAGGCACUCUCCUAACAAUCAGCAGAGGCUCUUAAACUACCUUCUCAUCUCUCUGUAGCAUUUUAGCCAGCCUGCCCCUAAACCAUCACUGAAAGAGCACUGUGCACUUAGUGUCUUCACGUUUGUUUAUUCAUUGGCUUACACACGCUUGGGCGUGUGUGUGUGUGUGUGUGUGUGAAGAUCAAAUUAACCGAUCAAAAUGAAGUCAAACACAAAACCUGGCUUUUGUUUACACAUUCUGUUCUUAAUACUUGAAUCGGGAGCGUGGAUGAAGCUGCUUUUGUGACGAGGGCAUGCUAAGGGAAGGGGGAA